GAUGAACGCUAGCUACAGGCUUAACACGUGCAAGUAGAGGGGAAACGAUAUUGGAAGCUUGCUUCCGAUAGGCGUCGACCGGCGCACGGGUGAGUAACGCGUAUCCAACCUGCCCAUCACUUGGGGAUAACCUUGCGAAAGUAAGACUAAUACCCAAUGAUAUCUCUAGAAGACAUCUGAAGGAGAUUAAAGAUUUAUCGGUGAUGGAUGGGGAUGCGUCUGAUUAGCUUGUGGGCGGGGUAACGGCCCACCAAGGCUACGAUCAGUAGGGGUUCUGAGAGGAAGGUCCCCCACAUUGGAACUGAGACACGGGCCAAACUCCUACGGGAGGCAGCAGUGAGGAAUAUUGGUCAAUGGGCGAGAGCCUGAACCAGCCAAGUAGCGUGCAGGAUGACGGCCCUAUGGGUUGUAAACUGCUUUUAUAAGGGAAUAAAGUGGGAGUCGUGACUCCUUUUGCAUGUACCUUAUGAAUAAGGAUCGGCUAAUUCCGUGCCAGCAGCCGCGGUAA
RNAcentral lists this ribosomal RNA (508 nucleotides) under uncultured bacterium. RNAcentral describes it as "partial 16S ribosomal RNA". It matches the Rfam family "Bacterial small subunit ribosomal RNA", at positions 28 to 523 of the family's 1533-position model. The record is from RNAcentral.